This 451-nucleotide long non-coding RNA is filed under the name Triticum aestivum (bread wheat). RNAcentral describes it as "long non-coding RNA (TAES_LNC018829)". Lineage: Eukaryota; Viridiplantae; Streptophyta; Magnoliopsida; Poales; Poaceae. The record is from RNAcentral.
UCAACUUCUCUGAAUGUGUCUCAAACAUUAUAUAAUCUGUCUUUAGGCGCGCUGCUCUGCUCCAAGGUUGUAACCGGUAUGGUCGUCUUGAUCUCGGAUUCAAGACGGCACGAAUAGUUAAUGGAGCUUCAUAUAAUUGUUCUAGGAUAUGUGCAAAAUGUUGGCACAAUUAGAGAUUAUGAGCCUGUUCAGUUUUCCUUUCGAUGCCUUCUGUAAAUUGUUCAUUGUGUAAACCUAAUCAGAUCUGAACAACUUUAAUUCUGAUGAGGUACAUGCGCACAAACACCAGACGCGCAUGCACACAUCAAGGUAGAGCACGCACGCACACAACAGCUCAUCACACAAAGAACUCACCUUGGCUGUUCAAAUUGACGCGCGCUGCCCACCGAAAUCACGCGCUACUGGGCUAUACGUAUGAAUCGAGGACCGGUGGGUGCAGUCCAACGGCUAG